This 406-nucleotide ribosomal RNA is filed under the name uncultured bacterium. Its description in RNAcentral is "partial 16S ribosomal RNA". It matches the Rfam family "Bacterial small subunit ribosomal RNA", at positions 30 to 526 of the family's 1533-position model. The record is from RNAcentral.
AUUGAACGCUGGCGGCAGGCCUAACACAUGCAAGUAGAACGAGUGGCGGACGGGUGAGUAAUGUCUGGGAAACUGCCCGAUGGAGGGGGAUAACUACUGGAAACUGUAGCUAAUACCGCAUACCCUCGGAUGUGCCCAGAUGGGAUUACCUGGUAGGUGGGGUAACGGCUCACCUAGGCGACGAUCCCUAGCUGGUCUGAGAGGAUGACCAGCCACACUGGAACUGGGACACGGUCCAGACUCCUACGGGAGGCAGAAGUGGGGAAUAUUGCACAAUGGGCGCAAGCCUGAUGCAGCCAUGCCGCGUGUAUGAAGAAGGCCUUCGGGUUGUAAAGUACUUUCAGCGGGGAGGCGUUACUCGCAGAAGAAGCACCGGCUAACUCCGUGCCAGCAGCCGCGGUAAUUC